RNAcentral lists this small nucleolar RNA (102 nucleotides) under Cavia porcellus (domestic guinea pig). RNAcentral describes it as "Small nucleolar RNA U13". It matches the Rfam family "Small nucleolar RNA U13". Lineage: Eukaryota; Metazoa; Chordata; Mammalia; Rodentia; Caviidae. The record is from Rfam by way of RNAcentral.
ACCCUCAGGUUCAUAAGUGUGAUGAUUGGGUGCUCAUGCUCCAUGCAUGACAUGUGCCUCCUUUGAACCUUGUUACGACCUCAGCACAUUACCCAUCUGACG